This is a long non-coding RNA of Octopus bimaculoides (California two-spot octopus), 1474 nucleotides long. The record is from RefSeq and is a predicted model, not a curated record. Lineage: Eukaryota; Metazoa; Mollusca; Cephalopoda; Octopoda; Octopodidae.
AGGAGGAGAGUGGUGCUACGAACCAUAUUUCUAUAUGAAUCUGCAAGACCUUCGUAUAGAUCAGUAUAAUUAAAUGACUCUAUUUCGGCAUGCGACGCGUUCACCACUGAACCCCAAGGAACGUAUGCUAAGCCACUAUUUUGCACUAAACUAUAUUUGCCGGGUACAUUAAUUAAUAUUAUCUCUCUCACUUUUCUGAUAUUCACAAUUGUUUGUCCAUUUCUGUGCAAGAAAAGCAAGUUCCACAUUACAUUUCAAUUGAAACAUAGCACAGGCUCCAGGUUUAAUAUCUUCCCGAUAUUUGUUAUGCAAAAACAGAAUCAAUUUCUUAUCAAAUUUAUCUACUUCCACUGAUUCCAUCAAGUUUGGCGACGGUGGUAGACAUGCCGUAUGGUCGGAGUUCUGUUUACAGUUACUAGGGCAGUGAGGAAAUUCUUCGCACAAACCCAUCACAAACUGUAAUACACUGUAAUAAUAGCUGCAAUAAACUGUAAAUCUAUCCACAUUAAAUGCAUAAUUUCUCCAAAAUUGCCGAUUCUUUUACUUGCAGAAUAUACUGCAAUGUUCUUUAGAAGCAGAAUAUUUCCCAUAAUAGCUUUAAUAAAAUUCCAUAUCCUUUUGCUGUUCAUUAGAAAUAAUGAUAUUAAAAUGGUUAUUGUUAUUAGAGUGUUUUAAAUUUAAAAUGUCAAGCAAAAUCUUUUAAAUGCACUCACGUAAUCCUGUAAUCCAGAGUUGGUCACUUAGCUAUAUCCGUUAUAGAUUCCAUUCUACAGGUAUCGAAUAAUUUAGAAAGCUUGAAUGAUGUUGAAAUGUCCUCUGAUUAUAAUGUGGAUGUGUUUCACAAAAUGUUGUAUCAUUAGCCAUCAACCACGUGCUCUUCUUUUAUCGCGGCGUCGGCACCCCAAAACUGUAAUUUCCUCCGUGUUGAGCAGUUUGCACGUAUCAUUCAAGCCUAUAUUUCUGGUCUCUUCUUGGAUUUCAUCAGUUCACAAACGUCUUUAACGGCCUCUACUUUCUUUUCUCUCAGGAUGGCCUUGGACAAUCACUUAUGGUACAUUGUACAACAUAGAAUAGCUUUUUGGACUUUGAUUCUCGACUGAAGAAAAAACGUCCGUAGAUAUUCUUUAGAGCGAAAUUAGCCACGUAAAUGCUCUCAGUUUAUUGUUUUCAUAACCACCCAACAAAUAUGAAACGAUGAUAGAGUCAACUUGAUAUGGAUGACACUGGAUUCAACUUAAAAUUUGGAUAAAUCAUUUUACUGUAAAAAUUUUAUACUAUCAAUAGUUAAAUGUCUUUGGUGUAUUAAUAUAAAUCAUGGCACCACCCUGUUAACCAUUGAUUGCAGCGUAACAAACAUUUGGGAAAUCUUUAUAUUUCCAGAAGUCUAAACCACAGAUCUUAGCUCUCUCACAGUUUUUAAGAUGUCGCAGUUUAUAAAAUUUGCUUUUCAUAUUAAACGACCAUUUUGAAAUCA